AUUGAACGCUGGCGGCAUGCUUUACACAUGCAAGUCGAACGGCAGCGCGGGCUUCGGCCUGGCGGCGAGUGGCGAACGGGUGAGUAAUGCAUCGGAACGUGCCCAGUAGUGGGGGAUAGCCCGGCGAAAGCCGGAUUAAUACCGCAUACGACCUGAGGGUGAAAGCGGGGGACCGAAAGGCCUCGCGCUAUUGGAGCGGCCGAUGUCGGAUUAGCUAGUUGGUGGGGUAAAGGCUUACCAAGGCGACGAUCCGUAGCGGGUCUGAGAGGACGACCAGCCACACUGGGACUGAGACACGGCCCAGACUCCUACGGGAGGCAGCAGUGGGGAAUUUUGGACAAUGGGGGCAACCCUGAUCCAGCCAUGCCGCGUGCGGGAAGAAGGCCUUCGGGUUGUAAACCGCUUUUGUUCGGGAAGAAAUCCUCUGGGCUAAUACCCCGGGGGGAUGACGGUACCGGAAGAAUAAGCACCGGCUAACUACGUG
RNAcentral lists this ribosomal RNA (484 nucleotides) under uncultured bacterium. Its description in RNAcentral is "partial 16S ribosomal RNA". It matches the Rfam family "Bacterial small subunit ribosomal RNA", at positions 28 to 507 of the family's 1533-position model. The record is from RNAcentral.